Molecule: ribosomal RNA, 253 nt
Filed under: uncultured bacterium
Lineage: Bacteria
Description: partial 16S ribosomal RNA
Rfam family: Bacterial small subunit ribosomal RNA
Source: RNAcentral
UACGAAGGGUGCAAACGUUGCUCGGAAUUACUGGGCGUAAAGCGCACGUAGGCGGCUUUCUAAGUCGGGGGUGAAAUCCUGGAGCUCAACUCCAGAACUGCCUUCGAUACUGGAGAGCUCGAGUCCGGGAGAGGUGAGUGGAACUGCGAGUGUAGAGGUGAAAUUCGUAGAUAUUCGCAAGAACACCAGUGGCGAAGGCGGCUCACUGGCCCGGUACUGACGCUGAGGUGCGAAAGCGUGGGGAGCAAACAGG